GAUUUUGACGAGCGCCUGAUUUCAUCACGAUGCUCACAAAGAUCUGAUCAUGUGACACAAAUCAUUAAUUUUUACUUCUCAGAAUGAAAACCUCGAAUUUAGGGAAAAGAUUUAUGAACCGAUAGGCUGCAUGUAUAUAAUAUGUAAAGUGAAUUGAACUAAGGUCCGAUCAAAAUGUUUAUGGCACAGCUGAAUUGUUGACUGAAGAGAAUGAAUGGUUUCGAAAAAAACCUUUUAAUUGUGUAGUCUACUGAGGACACAGGUUCACAUUAUCAUCAUUCUAGAAAAAGUAUAGAGUAUGAAAGGAGAGUAUUGGGCGUGUGGUCGGUUUGUUCAAAAUGAGCCUAUAAUUAUAUAAUAUAUCAUAAUAUAUAAUAAUAUGAUAACUAUAUUAAUAUUUCAAAAUCUAUAGAAGUAGAAGAAGGGUUCAACGUUUCGCAAACAGUACUGUCAUAAUUCCUCAAAAAAAGAGAAACAACUUUAUAAAUGCAAAGAAAAAAAUUCGAGCCUGCCAGGAUUCGAACCUGGAAUCUUCUGAUCCGUAGUCAGACGCGUUAUCCGUUGCGCCACAGGCCCCGUUGAUACCCAGGUGCAUGGUGAGCUCAAUAUCGAAUAUUUUUGGAUAUUCCGCCGUUCUUCUCGUAAUAUCGGUUAUUUUUCUUUUUUUCUGGUUAUAUUUGCGCUAUGAAACGACCAACAAUUACUCGGUAUCCUUUCUGUGAAGCCCACAAGCAAAAUAGAUAAGACACAUGAUGCCUUCUCUUGCAUUUUCGCGCCAUUUAUUAUCUAUUGAAGGGAGGCUACCCAGGCUGGAUGUUUGUUUCGAGAAAGAAGGAAGGUGGGGGGCGGGCAAAUGUUAUUAUUUUCAAGUACUCUCCCUUCCUUCUAACUGUCAGUGAAGUGAUAUCAUUUUUCAUCUCAAUCUCAUUCUUUUCAUUACAGUUCAAACGAGGUUCAAUAUUUAUUAUUACAUAUCUAGUUAGAAGCGUAUCGUUUGUUUUGAUUAGGCCUAAUCCGGCGAAAACAAAAAGACGUUGCCGGUUUUCGUUUUGUUUACUUUCGACAUUUUCUUCACACUGAGAGUUUAUAAACUCGGACACCGUAGGCUACUUGUCGUUAAGUUUACAUCACGUGAUCACUGCAGUAGCCCAGCUUGCAGCGGCUGCUGUGGUGUGUAGCCUAACAAAAGUUUCUAAUUCGCACGUACUCGUCCAUCCUCCAAAUUUACGAGAAGAAAGUGUAGCCUUGAAUAUUAGAAUCUUUAUCUGUGAAGCGACAUCUCAUCCUGUGGUUGGAACUUAACUUCACAGCGCAUGGCUGCGGCUUAAUAAAAUCUGAACUGUGAAGAGGAAAAUCAUCAAGACUUACUUCGUCAUGUCAGGGUCUGUUGUUACAUCUCAGCCUGGAGGACAGUCCGAGACAGUUCACACAUCUCAACCACUGGGUGGUCGCCAUAGUCAAAUGUCUGACGAUUCGAGUAUUGUGGGAGUUCGGAAUAGCUCUGCAUUAAAGAGACGAUGUUGCUGUGGGGAGAACGAUGACUGGAAUUACCCAUGGGAUAAAAGCAUACCCAAGUGUUGUCUUCUGGCUUGCUGUAUGUGGUAUCCUUUCUGCCUUGUGUUCCCUUGCUCCUUGUGUAUUCCAAGGUACAGAAAUUUGUUGUGCUGUGUCCAGGAGGGGUGUUGGGACGGCACUUGCUGUGGGGCCUGUAUCUGUGGAAUACCACCUAACGGGUCGGGGAAGGAUAUCAAGGCCGUUAGGGGCGUUGCCAGCUCCAGCAGUUCUCUCGGGUAACGUUCACACUUCUUCUACUUGUACCGGUGAUAAGUGUGCCUCAGCCUCAGAGUCAGAGGGUUACAUUCCCAUCUUACUGGUGUCCUUCUCAAAUUACACUUUGUGCUUUGAGAGGCCGGAAAGUUUGACCAAGACAAGGAUUUAAGUAACAAACCUUGACCCAACUUUUAAGUUUAACUCCUUGGUAUUGCUUCAACUGUUCUGCAGUUUAGGAAUCUCUUCCAAUAGGAAGUUAUAAUUUUAAUACAUGUAAUAGAAUUAGAGUCUUGAUUUGUGAUCAUUUAAAAAGUAAUUUCUUCAGAUUCUCCUGCUUUCUUGACCAACAGGCCUACACACAGGUAUUCAAAGCCGGGAAAGUCCUUGUAAUUCCCCUGCUACUAAUAGCCAGAAUUGGUGCCAUCGCCCACAGCAAAAGAUAAGUCAUCAUAACCUUCAAUUCUUCUAUUUCGCUGGAGACAUAUUCUCUUCUGUGGAUGGUUUGGUCGUCGUAAAACUUUGAAGGACAGGCUAUUAUUAGUCAACAGUAACAGUGGUGCAAAUAUUGUGGUCCAUUUCAUUAUUGCGUAGACGGACAACAUAACUGUGGUUGAGAGAUGAAUUAGAUGGCAACUUUUCAUAAACAGUUGAGUUGCAGCAUCUUGAUCAAAAAUAAAAUCACAAUAUAUACUCCUCUGUGUAUAAUUUACAUUAUAAAGUAUGCUUAUCUUAUUUAUUGAAUGGAUACACUCAUCAUGUACUUAUAUUAUCCUCUGAAAAGUCCAGAUCAAUUCAAUAAGUGGGCCUACGGCUUACUAACUGAAUUUGCUUGUUUACUAUGACUUGUUGACUUUUGACAAACUUUUUGUUUUCAACCGAUCACUUGACCAUUUGUCCAGUUUGUUUAUCACGAAAGAAUUUAACCUUGUGCCUCUUCCCGUUUCUAUGCAACAGUGAUGUUCUAUUAUUAUAAUAAAUGCUGAAAUUUAUUUUUGCGAAAUGUUUCUUUUCUCUUUCAAUGAAUUUAGUUGACACUUUUUAUUUUGUUUGUCAUGUUUUCACGAAAGAUAUUAUUCAUGUGCCCUUUAUUUGUGCAGGGUUUUUUUUUUUUAACUUUAAAAAGUAUUACUGAGAAGCAUACUACAGCACUGACAAUGUGAUCUGUUAUAAUUUAUACAGGUUAUACACAUUUAAAAAAUUGUAUACUAUUGUCGUUUGCAUUGUAAAGGUGCACUAAUACUUAAACCAUGUACAGGGCCAUAAUGUGCUCAUGGGACAGCCUGUGAAUCUCUCAAAGGUUAUUAGAGGUCAAAUGUACAAAAAAUAUUUAGGUUCCAAUAAAGCAAGCCAGCAAGCAGAAGUAGGCCUACCUGAAAUAUCUCAGCAUCAAGACCUCUACUUAUUGUCCACAAGCUGUUCAAAUGUACAAAGCCUGAAAUUUUGAGGAUU
Molecule: transfer RNA, 3219 nt
Filed under: Aplysia californica (California sea hare)
Lineage: Eukaryota; Metazoa; Mollusca; Gastropoda; Aplysiida; Aplysiidae
Description: uncharacterized LOC106013662
Source: RNAcentral